This 379-nucleotide ribosomal RNA is filed under the name uncultured eukaryote. Its description in RNAcentral is "SSU rRNA". It matches the Rfam family "Eukaryotic small subunit ribosomal RNA", at positions 587 to 972 of the family's 1831-position model. The record is from RNAcentral.
AGCUCCAAUAGCGUAUAUUAAAGUUGUUGCCGUUAAAAAGCUCGUAGUUGAACCUUGGGUCUGGCUGAUCUGUCCUCCUAAUCGAGCGCACGGAUUCGGUCGGACCUUUCCUUCUGGGGAGCCGCAUGCCCUUCACUGGGCGUGUCGGGGAACCAGGACUUUUACCUUGAAAAAAUUAGAGUGUUCAAAGCAGGCCUUUGCUCGAAUACAUUAGCAUGGAAUAAUAGAAUAGGACAGAGGUUCUAUUUUGUUGGUUUCUAGGACCGCUGUAAUGAUUAAUAGGGAUAGUCGGGGGCGUCCGUAUUCAAUUGUCAGAGGUGAAAUUCUUGGAUUUAUUGAAGACGAACUACUGCGAAAGCAUUCGCCAAGGAUGUUUUCA